Molecule: ribosomal RNA, 468 nt
Filed under: uncultured bacterium
Lineage: Bacteria
Description: partial 16S ribosomal RNA
Rfam family: Bacterial small subunit ribosomal RNA
Source: RNAcentral
GACGAACGCUGGCGGCGUGCUUAACACAUGCAAGUCGAACGGAAAGGACCUGUUUGUAGGGUGCUUGAGUGGCGAACGGGUGAGUAACUCGUGGGUGAUCUGUCCCUUACUUUGGGAUAAGCCUGGGAUACUGGGUCUAAUACUGGCUAGGUCACUGCUUUAGGUGGUGUGGUGGAAAGUUUAGUUUCGGUAAGGGAUAAGCUCGCGGCCUAUCGGCUUGUUUGUGGGGUAAUGGCAUCCCAAGGCGUCGCCGGGUAGCGGGCCUGAGCGGGUGAACGGCCACAUUGGGACUGAGAUACGGCCCAGACACCUACGGGAGGGAGAUGGAGGGAAUAUUGCACAAUGGGCGCAAGCCUGAUGCAGCGACGCCGCGUGUGGGAUGACGGCCUUCGGGUUGUAAACUCCUUGCAGCCAUGACAAAGCCCUUGUGGUGACGGUAGUAGUAGAAGAAGGACCGGCUAACUACGU